RNAcentral lists this ribosomal RNA (805 nucleotides) under uncultured archaeon. Its description in RNAcentral is "bacterial SSU rRNA". It matches the Rfam family "Archaeal small subunit ribosomal RNA", at positions 85 to 876 of the family's 1478-position model. The record is from RNAcentral.
ACGGCUCAGUAACACGUAGUCAACUGCCCUCGGGUCGAGAAUAAUCUCGGGAAACUGAGGCUAAUGAACGAUAGGUCAAGAUUCCUGGAAUGGGUUUUGGUCUAAACGGCGUGACAGCAUCUUGUCAUGUCCGCCCGAGGAUGGGACUGCGGCCGAUCAGGCUGUUGGUGGGGUAAAGGCCCACCAAACCAGUAACCGGUACGGGCUUUGAGAGAAGGAGCCCGGAGAUGGACACUGAGACAAGGGUCCAGGUCCUACGGGGCGCAGCAGGCGCGAAACCUUCGCAAUGCGCGCAAGCGCGACGAGGUUAUUCCGAGUGAUUUCCGCUGAGGAAAUCUUUUCUUAGAUCUAAAAAGUCUGGGGAAUAAGGGGAGGGCAAGUCUGGUGUCAGCCGCCGCGGUAAUACCAGCUCCUCGAGUGGUCAGGGCGUUUAUUGGGCCUAAAGCAUCCGUAGCCUGCUUGGUAGGUCUCCUGUUAAAUCCAACGACUCAAUCGUUGGUCUGCAGGAGAUACCGCUAGGCUAGGAGGCGGGAGAGGCGGACGGUACUCCGAGGGUAGGGGUAAAAUCCUUUGAUCCCCGGAAGACCACCAGUGGCGAAGGCGGUCCGCCAGAACGCGCUCGACGGUGAGGGAUGAAAGCUGGGGGAGCGAACCGGAUUAGAUACCCGGGUAGUCCCAGCUGUAAACGAUGCGAGCUAGGUGACACGAUGCCUUCGGGGCAUCGUGGUGCCGCAGGGAAGCCGUUAAGCUCGCCGCCUGGGGAGUACGGACGCAAGUCUGAAACUUAAAGGAAUUGGCGGGGGAG